UUUUCAAACAAUCGUAAUAAUAACAUUUUUUAUUAAUUGGAUAACUUUUAAUUAUAUAUCAAUAUGUCUAGAGUAUAUAAUAUGGACUUCCUUAGCGAAGAUAUGAUUAUGAUAAAUGUAUUAACGUAUCCUAAUUCAAACAGAAUUUCUGGAAGAAAGUUGCUUUGUAACUCAAUUCUGUACCUGGAUCAUGUAAAAAUGCUUAUAAAUGGUGUAAGGUGAGAGUGAUGAGAGUAAUCAAAGUGGCUUGGAAUUACUAGCAGAAGGUACCAACGACUCUCAGUUGAACUGUGAUAAAAUGGCUUCAGAUGAAGAAGACAACAAAACUUUAAGAUACUUUGUAAUGGUAUUCAAGAGAUCAUGAUGAUAAUAAGAAUUUGAUUACCAAAUCAGGUAUUUUGAAGAGUUUAGAAUAAGAUCGGAAUUAUCAUCAGAAAAGAAGUGAUGUCAACAGAAAAGUGAAAAGCUAAGACUAAGGGCAAUAGAACCUAUACUAAAAAGAGAGAAAUACAAGUGAAGGAAAUUGAAAUAAAGUUAAUUAAUUAACAUAUUGGGAAGAGGAGAAAUAAAAAUGCUUCAAGGAGAUAUCGGCUUCAUUAAAAGAAUUAUUAAAAAGAAAGAGAAGUUCAU
Molecule: long non-coding RNA, 630 nt
Organism: Papilio xuthus (Asian swallowtail)
Lineage: Eukaryota; Metazoa; Arthropoda; Insecta; Lepidoptera; Papilionidae
Exons: 3
Source: RefSeq, a predicted model, not a curated record